GAAUCUUCGGAUCCUGCCGCUUAGAGAGGAGCCCGCGUCCCAUCAGCUUGUUGGUAAGGUAAUGGCUUACCAAGGCUUACGGGUAGCUGGUCUGAGAGGAUGGUCAGCCACACUGGGACUGAGACACUGCCCAGACUCCUACGGGAGGCUGCAGUCGAGAAUCAUUCGCAAUGCGCGAAAGCGUGACGAUGCGACGCUGCGUGGAGGAUGACGGCCUUAGGGUUGUAAACUCCUGUCAUUUGGGAAAAAUAGUACCUUAGUUAAUAACUAUGGUAUUUGAUGGUACCAAAAGAGGAAGCCACGGCUAACUCUGUGCCAGCAGCCGCGGUAAUACAGAGGUGGCGAGCGUUGUUCGGAUUUACUGGGCGUAAAGGGUGCGUAGGUGGUCAUGUGUGUCGGGUGUGAAAGCCCACGGCUCAACCGUGGAAUUGCAUUCGAAACUGCAUGACUUGAGUGUAGGAGGGGUAAGCGGAAUUCUUGGUGUAGCGGUGAAAUGCGUUGAUAUCAAGAAGAACACCGGCGGCGAAGGCGGGCUUACUGGAAUACUACUGACACUGAGGCACGAAAGCUAGGGGAGCGAAGAGGAUUAGAUACCCUCGUAGUCCUAGCCGUAAACGGUGCACACUUGGUGUGGAGGGAAUUGACCCCCUCCGUGCCGGAGCUAACGCGUUAAGUGUGCCGCCUGGGGAGUACGGCCGCAAGGCUAAAACUCAAAGAAAUUGACGGGGGCCCGCACAAGCGGAGGAGCAUGUGGCUUAAUUCGAUGCAACGCGAAGAACCUUACCAGGGCUUGACAUAUACCUGCACGCCCCGUGAAAGCGGGGAAGCCUUCGAGGGUGGUAUACAGGUGCUGCAUGGCUGUCGUCAGUUCGUGCCGUGAGGUGUUGGGUUAAGUCCCGCAACGAACGCAACCCUUGUGUUUAGUUGCCACUCCCAGUGUUAAGCUGGGAAGCACUCUAGACAGACUGCCCGUGCAAGCGGGAGGAAGGUGGGGAUGACGUCAAGUCAGUAUGGCCCUUACGCCCUGGGCUGCACACGUGCUACAAUGACAGGUACAAUGGGACGCAAAACUGCGAAGUGGAGCAAAUCCUCAAAACCUGCCUCAGUUCGGAUUGGAGUCUGCAACUCGACUCCAUGAAGUUGGAUUCGCUAGUAACGGUGUAUCAGCUACGACACCGUGAGUACGUUCCCGGGCCUUGU
Molecule: ribosomal RNA, 1200 nt
Filed under: uncultured bacterium
Lineage: Bacteria
Description: bacterial SSU rRNA
Rfam family: Bacterial small subunit ribosomal RNA
Source: RNAcentral